This is a non-coding RNA of Scophthalmus maximus (turbot), 707 nucleotides long. Lineage: Eukaryota; Metazoa; Chordata; Actinopteri; Pleuronectiformes; Scophthalmidae. The record is from the annotation of a RefSeq genome assembly.
CAUACGACGAGGCGACCCUCCCACCUUCAGCUCCUUUAUAUCUCUGAACAGCAACUGUAUGAGACUGUGGCAGUUCCUGUCAGAACAUCAUGUUUAAACAAGGUCUCCUCAGACUGUCGCUCUUUUUGCUGUGGACUCCAGGUUUUAUUGACGGGAGUGAAGUCACCCAGGACUCCAUCCUGUGGAAAAACAAGGGCGACAAUGCAACAAUACACUGCAGCCACACCAAGGGUUUGCAAUACUACCAGAUGUACUGGUACAGGCAGCUGCCGGGAGAAACCAUGAAACUCGUCGUGUUCACGACGACGUCCAACAAAGAGCACGACUUUGGCGAUUUCAGCAGAGAGAAAUUCUCCGCCAACAAACCCGACGCUGAGAGCGGGACGUUCACGGUGAAGAAUCUGGGGCCGGGAGAUGGAGCCUUGUAUUUCUGUGCUGUGAGUCAACACAGUGACACAGACGCAUGAGACAGUCGAACAAAAACCCCAGUGCACAGUUCAACAUAACAGUCACCAACUCUCAUUAUCUCAUGUACGGUAGGGGGACCUCAAACACCACACACACACCCACUCCCCUUUGAUUCAUCAUGUCAGCUUUUAUACAGCAGCAGUGAACGUCACAAGGUUUUGACACGCCCACUUAAAACUCUUCAUACGUGUCUGUGUGUGUCUACACUGACCUUCAGAACAUGGACAUUAUCGAUGAGU